Molecule: long non-coding RNA, 2200 nt
Filed under: Homo sapiens (human)
Lineage: Eukaryota; Metazoa; Chordata; Mammalia; Primates; Hominidae
Description: HSALNT0304883
Source: RNAcentral
CCGAAACUUCAUGAGACCUUCCCUCGCUGUGCACGGACAAGUGUCUGACUCUGGAGCCCAGGCUGUUGCUUCCCGGUCUGGUGAUGAAUCCUCCAUAGUUUGAUGAAGGAACAGAAUGAAAGUCCCACAGUUGAGAGCCAAGAACAGGACCUGGGGGGUACACUGAUUCCUAGUACACAGUUGACUACAGAACAACAACAACAACAACAAAAUAAACCAAGUACAAUGGGAAAAACUGAAGAAAAUAGUUAAGUGGGACAAAGGCAACAAAGUAGGCAGAAUCACAAGAAGAAAGAAGACCAAGGGAAAAUUUCAAGAACAUUUUUUAAAGUAAGAAAGCAUGGAAGAAAUGACUGAAUAUUAUAAAUAUAGGAUGGUCCCUGUUUUGCUGGAAUAGCAGUCUGAAACCAUCAUUUAUCUUGGUCUGGGUGGAGCUGAGGUCUGGGAAUUCCCAUAUAAGGUAGUUUGUUCAUGCUUACUUCCUCAAGCACACAUUACACCUCCUCAUCUGAAAAAGGCACUGGAAGAAAAGAUUCUUUGGGAAUGACAUCCACACAUACAUUAAAGGCUGUGGUUUCCACUCCUAAUGGUUAGUAGAUUUGCCAAGACACAGCAUCCUCGCAACCCCCACCCAAAUACGGUUCAGCAUCUAGCAGUCAACACCACAGGGCCUUCCUGUGGUCACGACUGGCAGUGGUGAUAAAGGUCGGUAUGACCUUACUGCUCUCCAUAAAUAGCCCUUCAGUCAGUAAUGUCCUUGCAUGAUAUGGUCACAUUCUUUCAAGAGCAGCCCUGCUUUUAUGUAUGGUACCUUCCUUCCACAGAGCUUUCCAUCUCAGGUGAAGCUGCUUUCUUGCCCCACCAUAAUUCCUCUCAAUGACUUCAAAGCAGGGCCUCUACAUUCGAUUUUUUUUUAGGAUGAGUCUGUCUACCUUUUUUUUAGAGCUAUGCUGUCUACUUUGGUAGCCAGUAGUCACAUGUAGCAACUUGAAAUGUGGCUAGUCUGAAUUCAGAUGGACUUUAAAGUACCCACUGAAUUCUCCUGGUAACUUUAAAAUGCUGAUGACAUGAUAUGUAUAUAGCUUGGACAUGAUGACAGUUUGAUAUACUGGGUUAAAUUAAACAUAUUAUUAAAAUUAAUCUUCCCUAUCUCUUUUUUCCUGUUUUAAAUGGCUACUAGAAAAUCUUAAAACUACACAUGCUGCUUACAUUGUAUUUCUACAGGAUAGCACCAUUCUAGAUAGUAUAAUAAGCCCUGCUUAUUGAAUACGCUCAGUAGAAAGAAACCCUGGAAUCCUUUCAUUUCAAACGAUCUCCUGUCGGCCAGCCAACUUUCUUCAUUUGCAGGUGAGAUUCUUCAUCUGUAAUGUAGACAAAAUAAACCCCCCUCACAGACUGGUAAGGACUGAGAACACAAAGAAAGCAUUUUAAGCGUUCAGCAACACUAAAUGUGUUCUCAGUAAAUGUCACUUCCCUUUCUGUGGGUGCAUUCAGUAGCUGGUUUAGUCAUCUUGGGGUUAGUCAUGGAACGUCUGGAUUCCAACCCUCUUUGUUCCUUUUUCUCCACUCUAAUCACUUCCACAGAAUUCACCAUAACUUAGAGGGCAGGGGUCUGUGGUGAACUUUCUAAGCAAAAGCUACCCCUUCCCCACAGCUGAAUUUUUUACUCCUACCACUUGUCGACCAUAUCCUUCCCACCUCUUCUCUGCUGGUGCAUUCAUUAAUAAAUUAUUAAAAUUAAUCUCAAAAUUCUGGCUGCUGCUCAUUUUCUCCUUUGGGCUGUUACCAGUAGCUCACUGCUAUUGUCUGAAUUUAAAGGGAGCUUUGUUACUAUUCUAGCUAUUUCAUGUGUGAACACUUCCUUCCCCUCAAGUGCAUGGAUAUCCUUUACUUACCACUAGGGUCUCACCAGAUAUGUAAUGACUGAAGGAUUCUACAAUGGUCCUAGAAAUAAGUAAAAUAAAACUGAAUGUUGACUUUUAAUUACUGACCAGGCCAAUCAGGAUUACAGGAAUGAAAAGUACCUUUUAUGACUAAGAAAUCACAUCUGACUUGGCAGUCUGGUGUUAUUUCUGGCUGGUUUAUCUGUGGAAAAUUCACUUUAUGAUUUCUUCCCAGCUGUUGCUAGCAGUGUGCUAGGCUGGCAGCCCUAAGAGUUGAAUCAUCCCCAUGGAUGAUACUAUUUUCUCCUUCCCCACCC